GAGUUUGAUCAUGGCUCAGGACGAACGCUGGCGGCGUGCUUAACACAUGCAAGUCGGACGGUCUGUAUAUUGAAAGCUUGCUGGAUAUGUACGGAUAGUGGCGGACGGGUGAGUAACGCGUAUGUAACCUACCCUGUACAGGGGGAUAACCCGGAGAAAUUCGGACUAAUAUCCCAUAGAAAUAUUGGAAGGCAUCUUUUGAUAUUUAAAGUUCCGGCGGUACGGGAUGGGCAUGCGUAACAUUAGCUAGUUGGUAAGGUAACGGCUUACCAAGGCUUUGAUGUUUAGGGGUCCUGAGAGGGUGAUCCCCCACACUGGUACUGAGACACGGACCAGACUCCUACGGGAGGCAGCAGUGAGGAAUAUUGGUCAAUGGGCGCAAGCCUGAACCAGCCAUCCCGCGUGCAGGAAGACGGCCCUAUGGGUUGUAAACUGCUUUUCCAGGGGGAGAAACUUGCGCACGUGUUGCGCAAUUGACGGUACCCUGGGAAUAAGCAUCGGCUAACUCCGUGCCAGCAGCCGCGGUCC
This 528-nucleotide ribosomal RNA is filed under the name uncultured Bacteroidota bacterium. RNAcentral describes it as "bacterial SSU rRNA". It matches the Rfam family "Bacterial small subunit ribosomal RNA", at positions 9 to 523 of the family's 1533-position model. Lineage: Bacteria; Pseudomonadati; Bacteroidota. The record is from RNAcentral.